RNAcentral lists this long non-coding RNA (414 nucleotides) under Populus trichocarpa (black cottonwood). RNAcentral's name for it is "long non-coding RNA (PTRI_LNC001779)". The record is from RNAcentral. Lineage: Eukaryota; Viridiplantae; Streptophyta; Magnoliopsida; Malpighiales; Salicaceae.
UGAAUAUUAUGAUUUUCACCAUUGUUCUUGCUUCCCGUUAUGGUACUCACAAUAAACCAGUACACGAAUACCAGCACCUCGCUCGAGCUCCUUCUCUUUUACAACGGGUCAAGUCCAUCGACUACUUCUCCUUCUACAAUUUCCCACCUGCCCAGGAACCCCAAAACACUACCCAGGAACAUGAUCCUCCCCAGCUCGAAAGAGCCCCUUCUCUUUUACAACGGGUCAAGUCCAUCGACUACUUAUCCUUCUACAAAUUCCCACCUGCCCAAGAACCCGAAAACACUACCCAGGAACAUGAUCCUCCCCAGCUCGAAAGAGCUCCUUCACUUUUAGAACGGGUCAAGUCCAUCAACUUCUCUUCUUUAUACUACAGUUCGGGACCGGAAGAAACAACCCAACGUCUCCCAGCUC